GAUAUUUCCAAGCCUGGUUCGACUGAAACAGUUAUGAUCACAGUGAGCUCACCCAGUACAGUGACUGCGGAAGUAGAUGAAAGUCUCCAGAAAUUACACCAGGCACUGAAUAGUGGCAACAUUCAGUCUAUUGCCAAGGCAGCAUUUUCUUGCCCUUCACUGAAGGACCAAUUGGUAGAGGGUGUGGUGAAAAUUCUUGACGACGAAUGUUCCACUCUAUGUCGUAACUCUGGGGAGUUUGUCUCUCUAUUUCACCGGGUUCCAAUUGACAAUGUGGAAGCGUUAUCGUGGAAACAGGCUGUGUCUGAACUACAGCGAAAGUCUCCGAUUCUAUUUAGGCUUAUCCAGACGAUCGUAGGACGUUCAGAUCAUAGGAACUUGCAUAAACGCGGAGAGAGUCGUGUAUGGCCACAGCAAUUCUCUUGAAAGAGCGUAACACAAGAAUGUGUGGUAUUCAGUCGUUUCUGUCUCUCGUACUCUUCAACUGUAGAGUAAACAAAAAGGUAUACUCCAGGCUGAAUCAUCUUAGUGUCACUAUCAGUUACUGUGCCGUGUUGAAGUUGGUCACGAAAAUCAGCAAGCUGUACCAACGUCCUAUCGAUGCCUGGAUUGAUGAGGGUGCAUGUUUCAAGUUCGUGGGGGACAACGUUGCUAAAACAAAGGGCGUUAGAGACAUUCGUAGUGACCAUCAUGGUGAGCUAGUGCAAAUGUACAGUUUGUUGGCAAAGGACCAUCUCCAGUCUCAACCUUUUCCCCCCUAACCUGGGUUCCCUAAAAAUAACUCACUUCCUUCCUACAAAGGCCGACAUUGAGGGCAUCCAAGAAAAUUUGGUCGUUCUAGUCGGUCAAAUACUGUGCGAGUACAUCAAGCCCCUCCAGCGGUACAAACGGUGUGUUGUCAGUCACAUUAAGCACCCCCACAGCACAGAGAUGGCCAAAAAAUCUGAGGUUGUAGUCCUUGAUGUUCUACACAAGAAUGAGGCAAAGGCCGCAGACAUGAUAGACAUAAUGAUCGAGAAACAUUCAUACUUGAAAGAUUCUAUUGAACUUACUGUUAUGUCAGGUGGCGAUCAGAUGACUUGUGAAAGACAGCGAUGUAGCAAAAACAUAUGCGAGAUGCGGACACUCGCAGUGGACGAUUGGAGCAGUUAGAGCCUUGUAUAGAGGACUGGCACUGCCUUAUGAGUAUUCUGGGGGUAGGUGAAGCACUCACUUGGACUUCUUAUCGACCCGUUUGUUUCCACUGAGUAUACCAGCAGGAACACCACGAUCAUGUAGACUAGUCACUUGAUCUACCAUUAGAGACACUAGGGGACAAUACUACGCUCACUAGGAGGAGAACUAAUUCUAUCCAGCUUCUUGUCGAAUAAAAAAGGCAAAGUUUGGUAGCAGAUAGACUUUCAUAUCCAGUAGGAACCCACAGGAAAACAUCAUUCCCUUCGUACAGCAUCCGUAGAGUGUCAAGCUGUUUAUCCCUCAGAACUAAAUGACUUCUCUUCACACAAGAAAGG
Halichondria panicea is the source of this 1511-nucleotide long non-coding RNA. RefSeq lists it as uncharacterized. Lineage: Eukaryota; Metazoa; Porifera; Demospongiae; Suberitida; Halichondriidae. The record is from RefSeq and is a predicted model, not a curated record. The transcript is spliced from 3 exons.